RNAcentral lists this ribosomal RNA (270 nucleotides) under uncultured archaeon. RNAcentral's name for it is "partial 16S ribosomal RNA". It matches the Rfam family "Archaeal small subunit ribosomal RNA", at positions 477 to 747 of the family's 1478-position model. The record is from RNAcentral.
CAGCACCACAAGUGGUCAGGACGAUUAUUGGGCCUAAAGCAUCCGUAGCCGGCUCUGUAAGUUUUCGGUUAAAUCUGUACGCUCAACGUACAGGCUGCCGGGAAUACUGCAGCGCUAGGGAGUGGGAGAGGUAGACGGUACUCGGUAGGAAGGGGUAAAAUCCUUUGAUCUAUUGAUGACCACCUGUGGCGAAGGCGGUCUACCAGAACACGUCCGACGGUGAGGGAUGAAAGCUGGGGGAGCAAACCGGAUUAGAUACCCGAGUAGUCC